GAUGAACGCUGGCGGCGUGCCUAAUACAUGCAAGUCGAGCGAACGGACGAGAAGCUUGCUUCUCUGAUGUUAGCGGCGGACGGGUGAGUAACACGUGGAUAACCUACCUAUAAGACUGGGAUAACUUCGGGAAACCGGAGCUAAUACCGGAUAAUAUUUUGAACCGCAUGGUUCAAAAGUAAAAGACGGUCUUGCUGUCACUUAUAGAUGGAUCCGCGCUGCAUUAGCUAGUUGGUAAGGUAACGGCUUACCAAGGCAACGAUGCAUAGCCGACCUGAGAGGGUGAUCAGCCACACUGGAACUGAGACACGGUCCAGACUCCUACGGGAGGCAGCAGUGGGGAAUCUUCGGCAAGGGGCGAAAGCCUGACGGAGCAACGCCGCGUGAGUGAUGAAGGUCUUCGGAUCGUAAAACUCUGUUAUUAGGGAAGAACAAAUGUGAAUGAAACGAUGCAUGUUUUGACGGUACCUAAACAAAAAGCAAGGGCUAACUACGUG
RNAcentral lists this ribosomal RNA (497 nucleotides) under uncultured bacterium. RNAcentral's name for it is "partial 16S ribosomal RNA". It matches the Rfam family "Bacterial small subunit ribosomal RNA", at positions 28 to 507 of the family's 1533-position model. The record is from RNAcentral.